UGCUCUGCGGCCUCCGUGGUGGCAGUGUGCAGAGUCCCGUCCUGUGGCUUAGCCUUGGCACAGCCCUGCGGACGCCUGCCAUGCCCCCUGGUUAUCUGUGCUCGUGCAGGCCCUCAGAGGGCCCCCUCUUUGUCUCUCCAGGAGUGGGUAAGAGGCAAUGGGCACUCAGGUGGAGCCCCUGUGCCCAGGGGCAUGGUUGGGGGGCCAGGUCGUGGAAGGCCACAGCUCCACUCCCAGCGAUGAUUGGUGGAGAACACAGAGCCUGGCUCAGCCGGCAGGGGGCUCAGGAACCUUCUGGGAGGGGAGGGAAACAGGAAGCAGCCUUGCAGGGGAGGAGGCCUUGAGGAGAAGAGAGCUUCCAGACUCUGGAGCGUGAGCUGGGGGAGGCCCGGGGCCAGGCAAGGGUUUGCUGGGACCCCCACCCCGUCUGCGAGGCUGCAACCACAGCCGAGCACGGGCUGGUUCUUGGGUUCAGGUCAGAAAUUCCAGAAACACUGGGUACCACAGCCCACCUCCUCGAGGUGGGCAGUGAGUCCAGGGGAUACCGCUGGAAGGUCACCGUGCAGGGCCAAGCUGUGCCAGCCGCGUGGAGGCACCCUGGUGGAGGGCACUGGGAUGGACAGAAGAGGCUCCCCCUUAACAGUGGAACUCGGGGCGCCUGGGGGCUCAGUCGGUCUUGGUUUCAGCUCAGGUCAUGCCCCCAGGGUCAUGGGGUCCAGCCCCCGGUGAGCUGGAUUCUCUCUCUCCGGCAACCCCUCAAAAAAAAGAAGAAAAGGAAGGAAGAAGGAGGGAAGAGGGGGAGGGGGGAAGGGGGAGAGAGAGAGAAAGGAAGGAAGGAACUCAAGUGUCUGACCUGAGGCCUCAGAUCUAAUGGGGACUGUGAAGGCCUUUGAGGCCCCAGCUCAGCCAGAGCCUGUGUCUUCCCUGGGGACAGGGUCCCGAUGCCUCAGCCACGGGGGCUGAGGGGUCCUGGCUUAUCCCCUUGCGCAUGGAGCUGGCGCACCGGGGCCUCCCAUCUGGGCGGAGGGACAGGAGAGGGUUUUAGAGGAAGCCGUGGGGGGGCCAGAGCAGCUGACGGGCCGGCCGCGUGUCCUCCCCAGAGACAGGGAGCGCCCCGGGAGUGGUGGGAGCGCACCCGGCCCCGGAGGGCGGCAGAGGAGGCCCAGAGGGACAGUCUGGUGCCAGGGCACCAGCGGGAGGGGGAGGGGCCGCACAGAAGGAGGCAGCCGCCUCUGGCCGGCCUGUUUCCUCUUGUCUGAGGAGCCCGAGGGUCCACCCAGGCUGGGCGCCAGGCUGCUCUCCGUCCGCAGGAGGCUCCAGGCUGCGGCUCCAGUCUGCGGUGGGCGGCCCCGGUGCUGUCCCAGUGGGAACGUCUGCCCAAUCCUGCCACCGCCUCAGGUUUCCUGCGAUGCAUCUGUCCUUUUAAAGCCAGAGCUGUCCCCAGAGCACGGUGCUGGCCCCCGGGGUCCCCGGAGUUCCAGGCAGAGCCAGGGCUGUGACCACCGCCCUUCACACGGGGUCCUCGCUCAUGCCUGUUACCCGUGCUUCUCGCUGAGGAGAGCUCGUUGGGGAGGCCGGAGACUGGGUGGUUCUCAGACGCUCUGGACCCUGAAAGGCCCGUGUCCCUGCAGACUUGUAGCUCCUCUACUGUCAGAGCGACGUCCAAGCCACGGCGGCUUUGGAGGAAGUGGUGCUCCCUGCCUCUCGCCGUGUGGCCUCACCGGCGGGCUGCCCCCGCUCCCCGCCCGCCUGUGUCUCGGGGCGCGGCGUGCCCUCCGCGUCCUGUCCCAUCCAUCACCACCCGCGUCUCUGCGCACCAUCCUUCAGGAGCGAGAAGACUUCACACUUAGGCCGUUGGCUCUGCACACGGCCCCCCAGCAGAGCUCCUGUCCCGUGCACGCCCAGGUCCAGGGUGCAGGGACCCCCUCCCAGCCUCUCCCCACGGUACCCAGUGGGAACUAUGACGUCCACGCUACUCUGCAAGAGGAAAGUUGUCCUGUCCUGUGUGGCUUGUGAGCGACAUGAAGAUACUGUACAUAAUCCCUGUCAUAUUUUAUGGCCUGGAAACCUAGGCAUAUUGGUAUAACCUGGAGCGACAGAAAGCCUCAUGAACCAAAUUGGAAAUACAGGACUUGUGGGACGACAAAUACAAACAUCUGACUUCAGGGGCCCGGAUGGCUGAGGCAGCUGAGGUGGUGAUCUCGCGGUUCGCGAGUUCGAGCCCCGUGUCAGACUCUCUGCCAACAGUGAGGAGCCUGCUUGAGAUUCUCUCUCUCUCUCUCUCUCUCUCUCUCUCUCUCUCUCUCUCUCUCUCUCUCUUGUGCACACUCUCACAAAACUAAAUAAACAAUUUUUUAAAAAAGAAAAAUUUAACUUCAUGAAACUGAAAUGUCUAGAUGGCCUAAAAUACCGUAAUCAAAGUCAAAGGAUACAGGUUCACACGUAUUUGGGACAAAGGCUGCUGUCCAUGAUCUGAAGGACUACCAGCAGGCUCUUUUAAAUUUUUUUUUAAUUUUUUUAAUGUUUUAUUUAUUUUUGAUACAGAGAGAGAGAGAGCAUGAGAGGGGGAGGGGCAGAGAGAGAAGGAGACACAGAACCGGAAGCAGGCUCCAGGCUCUGAGCUAGCUGUCAGCACAGAGCCUGACGCGGGGCUGGAACCCACGAACACGAGAUCUGACCUGAGCUGAAGUCGGAAGCUCAACCGACUGAGCCACCCAGGCGCCCCACCCGGUGGGAAAGUGGGCGCAAGGAGCGCCGAGGGGCGGGGCGGUGCCGAUGAGAGGGAGGCUCCAGCUGCGGCACCGGCACCGUCACCGCCAGGGCCACGCCUUCCCAGCCACUGUGGCCCCCGGUGCUGCAACGUGUUGGAAAAUAGAAUCUAAGUUAAAAAUAGGACCUUCUUCGAGCUCUUGGUAACCCGUGCUUCAAUGCACGCAGCCCGACUGGCGGCAUCCGCGCGACUGUGGGCGCCGCCCCAGAGGGACGUGGACCGAACAUGAGCACCUCAGUCCUCCCCAGGAAGGGACUGCGUGUGGCCCUGUCCCCAGGCGGGUAGGGAGCUGGGCCUGCAGGGCGCGGGGACGCCUGCGCCUCCGUCCGUCCCUGCUUGUGGGCCUUGCUCUCAGCAGAAGACUGGAGGCUGGGCCGUCUUCCCCCUCGGUGUUGGGCGCUGAUAGCAAACUGUGGCCCCCGGGGGCUUCUUCCAAAUCACACACUUUUAGUAAAAACAAUAAAGUUGUAUUACUGACUUCAGAGAACACCUGCU
Molecule: long non-coding RNA, 3265 nt
Organism: Suricata suricatta (meerkat)
Lineage: Eukaryota; Metazoa; Chordata; Mammalia; Carnivora; Herpestidae
Source: Ensembl